This 1824-nucleotide ribosomal RNA is filed under the name Actinoplanes rectilineatus. RNAcentral describes it as "bacterial LSU rRNA". It matches the Rfam family "Bacterial large subunit ribosomal RNA", at positions 1211 to 2925 of the family's 2925-position model. Lineage: Bacteria; Bacillati; Actinomycetota; Actinomycetes; Micromonosporales; Micromonosporaceae. The record is from RNAcentral.
GUGCAGGUGUGUGGAUGGGUAGGGGAGCGUCGUAUGGCGGGUGAAGCGGCGGAGUGAUCCAGUCGUGGACGCCAUACGAGUGAGAAUGCAGGCAUGAGUAGCGAAUGAAGGGUGAGAACCCCUUCCGCCGGAUGACCAAGGGUUCCAGGGCCAGGCUAAUCCGCCCUGGGUGAGUCGGGGCCUAAGGCGAGGCCGAGAGGCGUAGUCGAUGGAUAACGGGUUGAUAUUCCCGUACCCGCAAAAGAGCGCCCAAGACGAACCCAUCUGUACUAACUACUUGAUCAAUUCAAUGGCUUCGGCCGGCGAUGCGGGAGACUAGGACCUUGGGUGGUAGUAGUUUAGCGAUGGGGUGACGCAGGAAGGUAGAUGAUCCCGGCCGGUGGUUGUGCCGGGGUAAGCGUGUAGGCCGUCACGUAGGCAAAUCCGCGUGGCAUUAAGGUUGAGACGUGAUGCCGAGCCGUUUCUGGUGAAGUCAUUGAUCCUAUGCUGCCGAGAAAAGCCUCUAGCGAUGUUCUGAGCGGCCCGUACCCUAAACCGACACAGGUGGUCAGGUAGAGAAUACCGAGGCGACGGGUGAACUGUGGUUAAGGAACUCGGCAAAUUGCCCCCGUAACUUAGGGAGAAGGGGGGCCGGACGCGUGAAGCCCCUUGCGGGUGGAGCGUGGUAUGGCCGCAGAGAGCAGGGGGAAGCGACUGUUUACUAAAAACACAGGUCCAUGCCAAGUCGUAAGACGAUGUAUAUGGACUGACGCCUGCCCGGUGCUGGAACGUUAAGGGGACCUGUUAGCUCUUCGGGGCGAAGCGGAGAACUUAAGCGCCAGUAAACGGCGGUGGUAACUAUAACCAUCCUAAGGUAGCGAAAUUCCUUGUCGGGUAAGUUCCGACCUGCACGAAUGGCGUAACGACUUCCCCACUGUCUCAACCACAGGCCCGGCGAAAUUGCAGUACGAGUAAAGAUGCUCGUUACGCGCGGCAGGACGGAAAGACCCCGGGACCUUUACUAUAGCUUGACAUUGGUAUCUGAAUUAGCUUGUGUAGGAUAGGUGGGAGCCUGUGAAGCUUGGACGCCAGUUCGGGUGGAGGCAAUGUUGAAAUACCACUCUGGUUGGUUUGGGUAUCUAACUUGCGGCCCUGAUCGGGUCGAGGGACAGUGUCUGGUGGGUAGUUUAACUGGGGCGGUUGCCUCCUAAAGGGUAACGGAGGCGCCCAAAGGUUCCCUCAGCCUGGUUGGCAAUCAGGUGUUGAGUGUAAGUGCACAAGGGAGCUUGACUGUGAGACUGACGGGUCGAGCAGGGACGAAAGUCGGGACUAGUGAUCCGGCACUUGCGUGUGGAAGCGGUGUCGCUCAACGGAUAAAAGGUACCCCGGGGAUAACAGGCUGAUCUUCCCCAAGAGUCCAUAUCGACGGGAUGGUUUGGCACCUCGAUGUCGGCUCGUCGCAUCCUGGGGCUGUAGCAGGUCCCAAGGGUUGGGCUGUUCGCCCAUUAAAGCGGUACGCGAGCUGGGUUUAGAACGUCGUGAGACAGUUCGGUCCCUAUCCGCCGUGCGCGUUGGAUACUUGAGAAGGGCUGUCCCUAGUACGAGAGGACCGGGACGGACGAACCUCUGGUGUGCCAGUUGUUCCGCCAGGAGCAUGGCUGGUUGGCUACGUUCGGAAGGGAUAACCGCUGAAAGCAUCUAAGCGGGAAGCCUGCUUCGAGAUGAGGUAUCCCACCACCUUUGAGUGGGUAAGGCUCCCAGGAGACUACUGGGUUGAUAGGCCGGAGAUGUAAGCACGGUAACGUGUUGAGUUGACCGGUACUAAUAGGCCGAGGGCUUAACCAC